Molecule: long non-coding RNA, 368 nt
Organism: Hyaena hyaena (striped hyena)
Lineage: Eukaryota; Metazoa; Chordata; Mammalia; Carnivora; Hyaenidae
Exons: 3
Source: RefSeq, a predicted model, not a curated record
CAAUGUCAAGAGCGCUGCACCGGGCGGAGGGAGCAGGGUGCAUGAGGAAAGCAAUGUCAAACUCAUUAUCUUAAGAAGUGAAAGUUGUCUUUUAAUUCUCCUACCUGUGAAGAUAACUGUCCAAUAAUGUGCGACUUGGCAAGGACGCUGAAACAAGAGCACCAGCUUAAUGGGGCUUCAUUGUCCGAAGUGUGGUGUCAUAAUUAACUAGUACAAGGAUUCAAAAUAAAUCACCUGGAAAGGAAAAAAGAAGUUGUAAGUGGGAAGUUCGGGGUCUGAUUCAAGAUUACUGUGAAACUUCAGGAUUCCUACUGAGAAAUCCCGAGUUUGAAAGAGCUACAAUCGGGGCGCCUGGGUGGCUUAGUCGG